UACGUAGGCAGCAAACGUUGUUCGGAAUUACUGGGCGUAAAGAGUGUGUAGGCGGUCUUGUAAGUUCUGUGUGAAAUCUCCCGGCUUAACUGGGAGGGUGCGCCGAAUACUGCAAGGCUUGAGUACUGGAGAGGAUAGCGGAAUUCCACGUGUAGCAGUGAAAUGCGUAGAGAUGUGGAGGAACACCGAUGGCGAAGGCAGCCUCCUGGGCCAGCACUGACGCUCAUGCACGAAAGCGUGGGGAGCAAACAGG
Molecule: ribosomal RNA, 253 nt
Filed under: uncultured bacterium
Lineage: Bacteria
Description: partial 16S ribosomal RNA
Rfam family: Bacterial small subunit ribosomal RNA
Source: RNAcentral